Molecule: ribosomal RNA, 482 nt
Filed under: uncultured organism
Description: SSU rRNA
Rfam family: Bacterial small subunit ribosomal RNA
Source: RNAcentral
AACGCUGGCGGCGUGCCUAACACAUGCAAGUCGAACGAAGCACUUCUGAUCGGAGAUUCGUCGAAGAUUGGAUUUGACUUAGUGGCGGACGGGUGAGUAAUGUAUGAGCAACCUGCCUUUCAGAGGGGGACAACAGUUGGAAACGACUGCUAAUACCGCAUAAUGUAUUGAGAGGGCAUCCUUUUGAUACCAAAGGAGCAAUCCGCUGAAAGAUGGGCUCAUAUCUGAUUAGUUAGUUGGCAGGGUAACGGCCUACCAAGACUGCGAUCAGUAGCCGGACUGAGAGGUUGAACGGCCACAUUGGGACUGAGAUACGGCCCAGACUCCUACGGGAGGCAGCAGUGGGGAAUAUUGGGCAAUGGGCGAAAGCCUGACCCAGCAACGCCGCGUGAAGGAAGAAGGUCUUCGGAUUGUAAACUUCUUUUAUGAGGGACGAAGGAUGUGACGGUACCUCAUGAAUAAGCCACGGCUAACUACGUGCC